This 72-nucleotide small RNA is filed under the name Cricetulus griseus (Chinese hamster). RNAcentral describes it as "tRNA-His". The record is from RNAcentral. Lineage: Eukaryota; Metazoa; Chordata; Mammalia; Rodentia; Cricetidae.
UUCCAUGACUUGGAUUAGAACUGAGGUUGCUGCAGCCAUGACGCAGAGUACUAACCACUAUAUGAUCACGGU